CCUACGGGAGGCAGCAGUGAGGAAUCUUGCGCAAUGGGGGAAACCUUGACGCAGCAACGCCGCGUGGGUGAUGAAGGCCUUCGGGUCGUAAAGCCCUGUCAGGUGGGAAGAAACAUGUCGGUGCUAAUAUCACCGAUGUUUGACGGUACCGCCGGAGGAAGCACCGGCUAACUCCGUGCCAGCAGCCGCGGUAAUACGGAGGGUGCAAGCGUUGUUCGGAAUUACUGGGCGUAAAGCGCGUGUAGGCGGUCGGGCAAGUCAGAUGUGAAAGCCUUCCGCUCAACGGAAGAAGUGCAUUUGAAACUACCCGGCUGGAGUACGGGAGAGGAGAGUGGAAUUCCCGGUGUAGAGGUGAAAUUCGUAGAUAUCGGGAGGAACACCAGUGGCGAAGGCGGCUCUCUGGUCCGAUACUGACGCUGAGACGCGAAAGCGUGGGGAGCAAACAGGAUUAGAUACCCUGGUAGUCCACGCCGUAAACGAUGGGCACUAGGUGUAGGAGGUAUUGACCCCUUCUGUGCCGAAGUUAACGCAUUAAGUGCCCCGCCUGGGGAGUACGGCCGCAAGGUUAAAACUCAAAGGAAUUGACGG
This 588-nucleotide ribosomal RNA is filed under the name uncultured bacterium. RNAcentral describes it as "bacterial SSU rRNA". It matches the Rfam family "Bacterial small subunit ribosomal RNA", at positions 338 to 916 of the family's 1533-position model. The record is from RNAcentral.